UACGGAGGAUCCGAGCGUUAUCCGGAUUUAUUGGGUUUAAAGGGUGCGUAGGCGGCCUGUUAAGUCAGGGGUGAAAGACGGUAGCUCAACUAUCGCAGUGCCCUUGAUACUGAUGGGCUUGAAUGUACUAGAGGUAGGCGGAAUGUGACAAGUAGCGGUGAAAUGCAUAGAUAUGUCACAGAACACCGAUUGCGAAGGCAGCUUACUAUGGUCCGAUUGACACUGAGGCACGAAAGCGUGGGGAUCAAACAGG
Molecule: ribosomal RNA, 253 nt
Filed under: uncultured bacterium
Lineage: Bacteria
Description: partial 16S ribosomal RNA
Rfam family: Bacterial small subunit ribosomal RNA
Source: RNAcentral